GCCGAAGUGGUGGAAUUUGGUAGACACGCCAUCUUGAGGGGGUGGUGGGGUAACUCCCGUGCGGGUUCGAAUCCCGCCUUCGGCACCA
RNAcentral lists this transfer RNA (88 nucleotides) under Deltaproteobacteria bacterium. RNAcentral describes it as "tRNA-Leu". It matches the Rfam family "tRNA". Rfam says of the family: Transfer RNA (tRNA) molecules are approximately 80 nucleotides in length. Their secondary structure includes four short double-helical elements and three loops (D, anti-codon, and T loops). The record is from RNAcentral. RNAcentral also lists the same sequence under 1 other name. Lineage: Bacteria; Pseudomonadati; Myxococcota; Myxococcia.